RNAcentral lists this transfer RNA (72 nucleotides) under Oncorhynchus masou masou (cherry salmon). Its description in RNAcentral is "tRNA-Thr". It matches the Rfam family "tRNA". Rfam says of the family: Transfer RNA (tRNA) molecules are approximately 80 nucleotides in length. Their secondary structure includes four short double-helical elements and three loops (D, anti-codon, and T loops). Lineage: Eukaryota; Metazoa; Chordata; Actinopteri; Salmoniformes; Salmonidae. The record is from RNAcentral.
GCCCUAGUAGCUCAGCGCCAGAGCGCCGGUCUUGUAAUCCGGGAGUCGGACGUUAAAACCCUCCCUAGUGCU